AUUGAACGCUGGCGGCAUGCUUUACACAUGCAAGUCGAACGGCCGCGCGGGCUGCGGGCUCGCGGCAAGCUGCGGAGCGGUGAGUAAUACAAUGGUACGUGCGCCAUGGUGGGGGAUAGCUCGACGAAAGCCGUAUUAAUACUGCAUACGACCUGAGGGGGCAGUGCGUGGAGCAUCGGACCCCGCGCCAUUGCAGCACCCGAUGCCAGGUUAGUUAGUUGGUGGGGUCAAGACCUUCCACGGCGACUAUGUGUGGCUGGGCUGAGAGGACGACCAGCCACACCGGGUGGGAGACACGGCCAAGACUCCUACGGUAGGCAGCAGUGGGGAAUUUUGGACAAUGGGCGAAAGCCUGACCCAGCAAUGCCGCGUGUGUGAUGAAGGCCUUCGGGUUGUAAAGCACUUUUGGCGGGAACGAACAGGACUGUGCCAAUCCAACGAUUCGAUGACGGUACCCGCAGAAUAAGAACCGGCUAACUACGUG
This 484-nucleotide ribosomal RNA is filed under the name uncultured bacterium. Its description in RNAcentral is "partial 16S ribosomal RNA". It matches the Rfam family "Bacterial small subunit ribosomal RNA", at positions 29 to 507 of the family's 1533-position model. The record is from RNAcentral.